This 387-nucleotide ribosomal RNA is filed under the name uncultured soil bacterium. Its description in RNAcentral is "bacterial SSU rRNA". It matches the Rfam family "Bacterial small subunit ribosomal RNA", at positions 26 to 424 of the family's 1533-position model. The record is from RNAcentral.
AGAUUGAACGCUGGCGGCAUGCCUAACACAUGCAAGUCGAACGGGAGUAGCAAUACUCCAGUGGCGGACGGGUGAGGAAUACGUAGGAAUUUGCCCUUAAGUGGGGGAUAACCCGGGGAAACCCGGAUUAAUACCGCAUGACCUCGAAAGAGCAAAGUGGGGGAUCGCAAGACCUCACGCUUUUGGAGAAGCCUACGUCGGAUUAGCUAGUUGGUGAGGUAAUGGCUCACCAAGGCGACGAUCCGUAACUGGUCUGAGAGGAUGAUCAGUCACACCGGAACUGAGACACGGUCCGGACUCCUACGGGAGGCAGCAGUGGGGAAUAUUGGACAAUGGGCGCAAGCCUGAUCCAGCAAUGCCGCGUGUGGUGAAGAAGACCUUCGGGUU